GAUCCAAUAGCUCAGUCGGUAGAGCACCUGACUUUUAAUCAGGGUGUCCCUAGUUCGAGUCUAGGUUGGAUCA
Molecule: transfer RNA, 73 nt
Filed under: Dialister histaminiformans
Lineage: Bacteria; Bacillati; Bacillota; Negativicutes; Veillonellales; Veillonellaceae
Also listed under: 1 other name
Description: Allisonella histaminiformans tRNA
Rfam family: tRNA
About the family: Transfer RNA (tRNA) molecules are approximately 80 nucleotides in length. Their secondary structure includes four short double-helical elements and three loops (D, anti-codon, and T loops). Further hydrogen bonds mediate the characteristic L-shaped molecular structure. tRNAs have two regions of fundamental functional importance: the anti-codon, which is responsible for specific mRNA codon recognition, and the 3' end, to which the tRNAs corresponding amino acid is attached (by aminoacyl-tRNA synthetases). tRNAs cope with the degeneracy of the genetic code in two manners: having more than one tRNA (with a specific anti-codon) for a particular amino acid; and 'wobble' base-pairing, i.e. permitting non-standard base-pairing at the 3rd anti-codon position.
Source: Rfam by way of RNAcentral